CCUACGGGUGACAGCAGUGAGGAAUAUUGGUCAAUGGGCGCGAGCCUGAACCAGCCAAGUCGCGUGAGGGAAGACGGCCCUACGGGUUGUAAACCUCUUUUGCCGGGGAGCAACGGGCGCCACGUGUGGCGCCACUGAGAGUACCCGGAGAAAAAGCAUCGGCUAACCCCGUGCCAGCAGCCGCGGUAAUACGGAGGAUGCGAGCGUUAUCCGGAUUUAUUGGGUUUAAAGGGUGCGUAGGCGGUGCGUUAAGUCAGUGGUCAAAUUGAGGGGCUCAACCCCUUCCCGCCGUUGAAACUGGCGGUCUUGAGUAGAAGAGAAGUAUGCGGAAUGCGUGGUGUAGCGGUGAAAUGCAUAGAUAUCACGCAGAACCCCGAUUGCGAAGGCAGCAUGCCGGCUUCCUACUGACGCUGAGGCACGAAAGCGUGGGGAUCGAACAGGAUUAGAUACCCGUGUAGUC
RNAcentral lists this ribosomal RNA (460 nucleotides) under uncultured bacterium. RNAcentral's name for it is "partial 16S ribosomal RNA". It matches the Rfam family "Bacterial small subunit ribosomal RNA", at positions 338 to 795 of the family's 1533-position model. The record is from RNAcentral.